CUCAUGUCAUUAUGGGCAAUGAGGCUCAGCUGUUCUGGGUGUUCUGCCUCUUUCUGGUUAUGUGCAGGGAAGAAGAGCUGUGGGAGCACAGAAAGUGCUGUGGCUUGGGGGAAGGCAGUAGAUAUGGAAAGAGAAGAAAGUCAUUUUUCUCCAGAGCUACAGAGGCUUGCUAUUGAGUUCCCGCAAGGCUGAGUGAAGGCUCUGUUGCUACCUAGUACUGCACUGCAAGCAAGACAAGGGAUGAAGAAAAUUUACCUGCAGUUAUCAGUUCUGUCACUGCAGACCCUACCUUGUGGACUGUAGAGAAACUAACAAAUGAAAGCUGCAAGAAGCCUCUCCUACUGUUCAUGCAUCAACACAAAUAUCUGAGCCAGCAGCAAACUGAGCCGGUGUCUGUGGCCUGGUGCUUAUUAAUGCAGUCCCCUGGGUCAGGUGAGCUCAAAAUCACUUUAUUUCUGCAUCUGUCUGUCAAGCUUGUUUAAAGGAGCAAGUACCUCUCCAACUUCUUGUGGUCAUGGUUCUUUUGGUUGACAGGUCACUUGAAAUGAGAAUGUCCUCAACCAUACCUUGUGAGUAAAGUUUUAUAGAAAAGUGUUCAGGUG
Long non-coding RNA from Gallus gallus (chicken), 602 nucleotides. NCBI's taxonomy places the organism in Eukaryota, Metazoa, Chordata, Aves, Galliformes, Phasianidae. The record is from Ensembl.